UAUAAUUUUAUAGGAAACAAGUUCCUAUUGAUGACAUUCUAUAAACAUGCUUUGGUGUAUAUAAAAACAUAGUCUUGGAAAUGAAAGGAAACACGGCAAUCCUAAAAUCCGAGUUGCCUCGAGAGGUAUCCAAGACUACAAAAUGUGCACAGGUGGAGAUAAAAAUGACGGACGAGCACAUGCUUCAAAAAAGCCAGCUAACAGCCACAUCAGGUUUAUUCAAUAAUGAUCCUUCCGCAGGUUCACCUACGGAAA
RNAcentral lists this unclassified non-coding RNA (255 nucleotides) under uncultured fungus. Its description in RNAcentral is "sequence contains ITS1". Lineage: Eukaryota; Fungi. The record is from RNAcentral.